This 215-nucleotide unclassified non-coding RNA is filed under the name soil metagenome. RNAcentral describes it as "partial contains 5.8S ribosomal RNA, internal transcribed spacer 2, and large subunit ribosomal RNA". The record is from RNAcentral.
AACCAUAGAAACCUGCGGAGUACCUGCGGAAGGAUCAUUACAAGUGACCCCGGUCUAACCACCGGGAUGUUCAUAACCCUUUGUUGUCCGACUCUGUUGCCUCCGGGGCGACCCUGCCUUCGGGCGGGGGCUCCGGGUGGACACUUCAAACUCUUGCGUAACUUUGCAGUCUGAGUAAACUUAAUUAAUAAAUUAAAACUUUUAGCAACGGAUCU